GUUUUUUAAGCUGUAAAAGGUUUGUUUGGUUUUGUUAUCCCCAAUGAGCUGAAAUAAAGCCUCGUAGAAAUGUCCUUCAGUUGCAGCGAAGUUCCUUAUCCAGGGCUCCUGAAUUCCACUGGACGUUACAUUGCAAUUGACAUUUGUGUUAAAUGACUUAAUGGUGAUCCUGUUAUUGCAGUAAAUACUAAAUUAAUCAAAGAAUGAACACCUAGAGGCAUCUGGAAAGGUACCUAUCUUUACAAAUCUGUCCCUUAUCGACCAAGAGAUUUACACAUGAUCACAUCCCAGACCUUUCAGCUUACAACUCAAAGAAUGCUGCAGGAGGAGCUGUAUUUGUGGCUGACCUCUCUGCACCCAGAUUCAAGGCCUGAGUAACCCACACAGGGAAAUGUAGGUUGGUGAGUGUUAUUCUCUUACACCCCUAUGCAG
Molecule: long non-coding RNA, 432 nt
Filed under: Crocodylus porosus (Australian saltwater crocodile)
Lineage: Eukaryota; Metazoa; Chordata; Crocodylia; Crocodylidae
Description: lncRNA (ENSCPRG00005013140.1)
Source: RNAcentral